Molecule: transfer RNA, 72 nt
Filed under: Camelus bactrianus (Bactrian camel)
Lineage: Eukaryota; Metazoa; Chordata; Mammalia; Artiodactyla; Camelidae
Also listed under: 3 other names
Rfam family: tRNA
About the family: Transfer RNA (tRNA) molecules are approximately 80 nucleotides in length. Their secondary structure includes four short double-helical elements and three loops (D, anti-codon, and T loops).
Source: Rfam by way of RNAcentral
GAGGGUACAGCUCAGUGGUAGAGUGUGUGCUUAGCAUGCACAAGGUCCUAGGUUCAAUCCCUAGUACCUCCA